CAUCCCCCCGCUCGCCGGACCUACGUAUCCACGCGCAGGCGACCACCGUGUCGCGCUGCCCCACCUCCCCCCUGUUUCGCCUGUGCGCCUGACCAGAGUCGUCCUGUCACCGGACGGGCGGAGCGCCCUCUGUACCGCAGCCGGCGGACACCUUCGGCUCCACGCGACGGCGACGAACGCGCCCCGUCUACAGAUAACCCGCCUCCACGCCACGCGGCUGGACCUUGCCGCCAUUGAUCUCCGCCUCGGCUUGGGACCUCUGGCCAGCUGACCGACAUUUGCUUUGUUUUUUUGUGGUAUGGAUCACUUCCCCUCUCUACGUGUUGUUUGAUGAAUAACAAAUUUCUGAAUUUUUGUGAUGAACGAUAUUCAGAUUCGUUCUGAUUGAAAUGCCAAUCUUUUGUUUCGUUGUUCUCAUGUUCUAUUUCAGUGUCUUCUACUGUCAGUUCUAACCUUACUUCUGAGUCCCAUCGUUAAAACAAAUAUGCAAACAUAUGUACUCGAGUAUGGACUGUAGGAGUUCUUACCAAAUUUUUGUAGGACGACGUACUAAGUGUGCGUGCUCAUUGUUGCACUAGAGGCCCUUCUGAACCUAACUGAUAUGUUAUCUCCUUUUCAUUUUAUUUUUUGAGUAAUGUCCACCUAUCAUGUUAAAGCAAUUUCUCAUCCCAAAUAAAUGUUACCAGUGUGUAGAAAAACAAUCUGAUUAUGUUUUUCAUCUUAUUUUUUGUUUGUACUACCACUAAUUGUGUGCAGCAGUUUGUUAGUGCCUAUGUAAUUGAUUAUUCAUGAUAAAAAACGGCUCUUUGUACUGGUCUCUAUUCUUCACACUGUCGAAAACUCAAUCCUUAUAAAGAGGGGAUAAGUAUGUGAGCAGCAAGGGAUUUAUUUUAUAGAUUGUAUUGGUUUUGCUGAAGCAUCAAGGCAACCAUUCAAAGGAGGUUGUUAACAAUGAGGCACUGAUGAAGAAGAGCAUAUGUGGCUUUGCCUAACUCAUCUGGUUAUUCAAGGUUCUUGAAUAACUCCAAGCUUGGGGAGCAUUGCAGACAUAGUUUUAAAUAGCGGGCUAGGGCAAAUAGUGGCGAGCCUCUAAAUCAGCUAUAGCGGGCUAUAGCGGCAUAUUUAUACAUGAAACCAUUUAGCGGCACUGUAACAUCCCAAAUUUUGGAAUGUUAAUAAAAUUGUUAGAUUGAUUGUUU
This is a long non-coding RNA of Hordeum vulgare subsp. vulgare (domesticated barley), 1199 nucleotides long. RefSeq lists it as uncharacterized. The record is from RefSeq and is a predicted model, not a curated record. The transcript is spliced from 2 exons. Lineage: Eukaryota; Viridiplantae; Streptophyta; Magnoliopsida; Poales; Poaceae.